RNAcentral lists this transfer RNA (61 nucleotides) under Aposthonia borneensis. RNAcentral's name for it is "tRNA-Ser". The record is from RNAcentral. Lineage: Eukaryota; Metazoa; Arthropoda; Insecta; Embioptera; Oligotomidae.
AGUAAGAAAAUUAAAUAUAUCUUGAAAAUAUAAAAAAAAGAAAAAAUAUCUUUUCUUACUU